Molecule: ribosomal RNA, 562 nt
Filed under: uncultured bacterium
Lineage: Bacteria
Description: bacterial SSU rRNA
Rfam family: Bacterial small subunit ribosomal RNA
Source: RNAcentral
CCUACGGGAGGCAGCAGUGGGGAAUCUUGCGCAAUGGGCGAAAGCCUGACGCAGCAACGCCGCGUGCGGGAAGAAGGCUUUCGGGCUGUAAACCGCUUUCAGCAGGAACGAAAAUGACGGUACCUGCAGAAGAAGGAGCGGCCAACUAUGUGCCAGCAGCCGCGGUGAUACAUAGGCUUCAAGCGUUGUCCGGAUUUAUUGGGCGUAAAGAGUUCGUAGGCGGUCGAGUAAGUCGGGUGUGAAAAUUCUGGGCUCAACCCAGAGACGCCACCCGAUACUGCUUGACUUGAGUUCGAUAGGGGAGUGGGGAAUUCCUAGUGUAGCGGUGAAAUGCGCAGAUAUUAGGAGGAACACCGGUGGCGAAGGCGCCACUCUGGAUCGAUACUGACGCUGAGGAACGAAAGCAUGGGUAGCAAACAGGAUUAGAUACCCUGGUAGUCCAUGCCGUAAACGGUGGGCACUAGGUGUGGGUUUCUAUUAACGAAAUCCGCGCCGUCGCUAACGCAUUAAGUGCCCCGCCUGGGGAGUACGGUCGCAAGCUAAAACUUAAAUGAAUUGACGG